Molecule: ribosomal RNA, 712 nt
Filed under: Paenibacillus dendritiformis
Lineage: Bacteria; Bacillati; Bacillota; Bacilli; Caryophanales; Paenibacillaceae
Description: bacterial SSU rRNA
Rfam family: Bacterial small subunit ribosomal RNA
Source: RNAcentral
AUGGAGUGCUUGCACUCCUGAUGCUUAGCGGCGGACGGGUGAGUAAUACGUAGGUAACCUGCCCUUAAGACCGGGAUAACUCACGGAAACGUGGGCUAAUACCGGAUAGGCGAUUUCCUCGCAUGAGGGAAUCGGGAAAGGCGGAGCAAUCUGCCACUUAUGGAUGGACCUACGGCGCAUUAGCUAGUUGGUGGGGUAACGGCUCACCAAGGCGACGAUGCGUAGCCGACCUGAGAGGGUGAUCGGCCACACUGGGACUGAGACACGGCCCAGACUCCUACGGGAGGCAGCAGUAGGGAAUCUUCCGCAAUGGACGCAAGUCUGACGGAGCAACGCCGCGUGAGUGAUGAAGGUUUUCGGAUCGUAAAGCUCUGUUGCCAGGGAAGAACGCUAUGGAGAGUAACUGUUCCAUAGGUGACGGUACCUGAGAAGAAAGCCCCGGCUAACUACGUGCCAGCAGCCGCGGUAAUACGUAGGGGGCAAGCGUUGUCCGGAAUUAUUGGGCGUAAAGCGCGCGCAGGCGGUCAUGUAAGUCUGGUGUUUAAACCCGGGGCUCAACUCCGGGUCGCAUCGGAAACUGUGUGACUUGAGUGCAGAAGAGGAAAGUGGAAUUCCACGUGUAGCGGUGAAAUGCGUAGAGAUGUGGAGGAACACCAGUGGCGAAGGCGACUUUCUGGGCUGUAACUGACGCUGAGGCGCGAAAGCGUGGGGA